CAGGGAGACAACAAAAUGUUUAAUAUUAUUAUUUUGUCACCUUAGGUCGAUCGGUAUCUCACGUUCUUAAUUUAUUAAGAAUUUCAUUUCCUAAGUUUUUCUAGGUCACACCCAUUAUUUUUCCUGGGCCAUUAGCUCAGGUGGUUAGAGCGCACCCCUGAUAAGGGUGAGGUCCCUGGUUCAAGUCCAGGAUGGCCCAUAUCUCUAUGUUGGGGGUAUAGCUCAGUUGGUAGAGCGCCUGCUUUGCAAGCAGGAUGUCAGCGGUUCGAGUCCGCUUACCUCCACUGAUUACCACCUCUUCCAUAACCGGUAGAAAGGAAAUGUUUUGAGCUGUGAUCAUUAUUCUGAACGAAUCUAGCUUCCUAAUGAAAUCAUUAAGAUGCUGGACUCAUUGAAUUAAUUUCAUUGUUUUCAGAGAACCUUGACAACUGCAUAGAUUAUUUUUAAAGACAAUAAGCAUCUUUAAUGAUGCAGAUUUAUUAUUUGUGCGAAUGCAUUAAUAACAAUUCUAUUAAGCUGAUGCUUCAAUUUUUGAAGUUAUU
RNAcentral lists this transfer RNA (542 nucleotides) under uncultured cyanobacterium. Its description in RNAcentral is "partial 16S-23S ribosomal RNA intergenic spacer". The stretch from base 212 to 284 matches the Rfam family "tRNA". The record is from RNAcentral. Lineage: Bacteria; Bacillati; Cyanobacteriota.